AGCAGCCGCGGUAAUUCCAGCUCCAGUAGCGUAUAUUAAAGUUGUUGCAGUUAAAAAGCUCGUAGUUGAAUUUCGGGGUUCUACCGUUGGUCGGGCAUUGUCUGUACUGGCGUGUGGAAUUUCUACCUUCUGGGGAACCAUCAUGUUAUUAAUUUAGCGUGGUGGGAAACCAGGACCUUUACCUUGAAAAAAUUAGAGUGUUCAAAGCAGGCUUACGUCUGAAUACAUUAGCAUGGAAUAAUAAAAUAGGACGGUGGUCCUGUUUUGUUGGUUUCUGAAUCGCCGUAAUGAUUAAUAGGGAUAGUUGGGGGCAUUAGUAUUCAAUUGUCAGAGGUGAAAUUCUUGGAUUUAUUGAAGACUAACUUCUGCGAAAGCAUUUGCCAAGGAUGUUUUCAUUAAUCAAGAACGAAAGUUAGGGGAUCGAAGACGAUCAGAUACCGUCGUAGUCUUAACCAUAAACUAUGCCGACUAGGGAUCGGACGAUGUUAAUUUUUCUUGACUCGUUCGGCGCCUUACG
This 517-nucleotide ribosomal RNA is filed under the name uncultured Gigaspora. RNAcentral's name for it is "SSU rRNA". It matches the Rfam family "Eukaryotic small subunit ribosomal RNA", at positions 569 to 1092 of the family's 1831-position model. The record is from RNAcentral. Lineage: Eukaryota; Fungi; Glomeromycota; Glomeromycetes; Diversisporales; Gigasporaceae.